CACGCAGGCGGUUUGUUAAGUCAGAUGUGAAAUCCCCGGGCUCAACCUGGGAACUGCAUCUGAUACUGGCAAGCUUGAGUCUCGUAGAGGGGGUAGGAAUUCCAGGUGUAGCGGUGAAAUGCGUAGAGAUCUGGAGGAAUACCGGUGGCGAAGACGGCCCCUGGACGAAGACUGACGCUCAGGUGCGAAAGCGUGGGGAGCAAACA
This 206-nucleotide ribosomal RNA is filed under the name uncultured bacterium. RNAcentral's name for it is "partial 16S ribosomal RNA". It matches the Rfam family "Bacterial small subunit ribosomal RNA", at positions 568 to 774 of the family's 1533-position model. The record is from RNAcentral.